AGCAGCCGCGGUAAUUCCAGCUCCAAUAGCGUAUAUUAAAGUUGUUGCAGUUAAAAAGCUCGUAGUUGAAUUUCGGGAUCAAUAUAUCGGUCGUGCCAUCGGUACGUACUGGUAUGAUUGGUUUCUCCUUUCUGACGAACCAUGAUGUCAUUAAUUUGGUGUUAUGGGAAGUUAGGACUGUUACUUUGAAAAAUUAGAGUGUUUAAAGCAGGCUUUGGCUUGAAUACAUUAGCAUGGAAUAAUGAAAUAGGACGUUCGAACCUAUUUUGUUGGUUUCUAGGAUCAACGUAAUGAUUAAUAGGGAUAGUUGGGGGCAUUAGUAUUCAAUUGUCAGAGGUGAAAUUCUUGGAUUUAUUGAAGACUAACUACUGCGAAAGCAUUUGCCAAGGAUGUUUUCAU
Molecule: ribosomal RNA, 399 nt
Filed under: uncultured Glomeromycotina
Lineage: Eukaryota; Fungi; Glomeromycota
Description: SSU rRNA
Rfam family: Eukaryotic small subunit ribosomal RNA
Source: RNAcentral